GCUCUGCUUGGAAACUAAAAUGUAUUUGUUAAAACUUAAAAUGUUAUGUAUUUUCCGUUGGAGUUGGAAACAAACUUUGUUUUAAUAGUUAAUAUUCAUAAAAAAUACAUCAAGUAUUAGAUAUUUUUCAAAUAAUUGACUAAAUAUAAUUAUAAUUAUAAUUGAAUAUAUUUUUUGGUAAAUAUAAAAUAAAAUGCAUGCUAUUAACGUGGGAGAUAACAGUUCAAAAACACACGCGCUUUUAAUUCCAAAAAAUGAAUGGAUACGACUAAAUAAGAUUUUGACUAAAAAGGACGAUGAUAGAGCUAUGGUUGAGAUGAUGAAGCGAUUGAGAGACGAACGGCAAGCUACAUCCAAAGCCAUAACCGAAUCAUGGGAAACCACUGUAUUAAACAAACGAAAGAAAGAAUUAGAAAAUAAACAAAAAUUAAUAGCCAUUAAUGAAGCCAGACAACUAAAAAGAGACGAAAUUAUAAAACAAAAGAUUUUGGAGCGCAGAAAUGCUAUUGUAGAAAAGGCCUUGUUGAAAAAAUGGUCGGAUAGAGAUUCAACGAAAGCAAUAACCAGAGCAGUGCACAAGAUGGAGGUACUCAGAGAAAGAAAUUUACAAAUUGUAUUUAAUAAGGCGGAGAGAGCGAAAGAACUGGAAGCAAAUCGUUUAUUAAAGAUAGAACAAAAUUUAGAUGCUGAACGAUAUAAGAAAGAUCGAUGGGAAGAAAAAAUGAAGCAAGCUGAAACUAAAAAAGCUAAUGCUGGUUUCUUCCUAAAAGAAUUAAAAAAACGAGAAGAUAUAAAGCGUGACGAUGAUAUUGAAUUAAAAGAAAAAGGUAAAGCUGAAUUACGAAGAAUUGCAAAUGAAAUUAAGAAAGACAAUGAGAAUAAAAGAGCAAAAGUUUUAGCAACCAGAGAAAAUUUAAUAAAUCACUUAAAUGAAAAUAGAAAAAUCGUGGAUGAAAACAAUAAGCAGCGUCAAUUAAAAGAUGAAGAAGAAAAUGUAAUAGUUUCUAUAAUGGCCGAUGCAAAAAAGAAAAUGGCUAAAACAAGAAAACUGAAAGAAAUAGAAAUUUUAAAAAAAAAACAAACAUUACUAGAGAAGAUGAUUGAAACUUCUAAGAAAAAAGACAAUUAUAAUAACAAUAAAAAUAAUGAGAUUGCACUUCAGAACUAUGAAGAGAAAGAGCAGAAGUAUCAAAGAGAAGAACAAGAAAAAAAUGAUUUAAAGAAAAAAAGAGAAAAAGAUUUUGAAGACAAUAAGAAGAUCUUGGAUGAAGAAAUGAAAAAGGAAAAAGAACGUUUAACACUGAGUCAUCAGUGGGAACUAGAAAGGCGCCUACGUGAGACUGAGAUGUUACAUUCCCUUGAAGAGUCACAGAGACUAGAAAAAAAUAGAAAGAUAAACAGUUUUCGAGAAAAUCUCAACUUACAAUGUGAAAAUAAUAGAGCAGCUACAAGAGCUAACAAACAGGUAGAUCUAGAACAAUAUAAUGCACACAUAAACUUAUGGCAGCAACAGGACGAGGAGUUUAUGACGUACACUAAUAAUCUGAUAGCUAAGUAUCAAAAAGCUGGGAUAUCUGUGAUACCUCUCAUAUUUGCCAUAGAGAAUUAUAAGAAAAACAACAAACUAUUGAUAAAUGCAGCAGUCAACAGGAAGUCCGAAGUAAAUUUCUAACAAAAUAUAUUCAUGCCGUUUUUUAAACAAAAACACAAACAAAUAUUUAAAAAAUAUUUGAAUAUGUUCAUUUAAAUAGUUAAAUACUUUUAAAAAAAAUAUCUCUUAUAACUUAAUGAAAUAAUUAUCAAUAUGUGAAAUGAAAUACCUAUUGAAUGAAUAUAUAACCAGCGAAAAUUUAAUAAAUUACUUAUAUGAAAAUAGAAAAAUCGUGGAUGAAAACAAUAAGCAGCGUCAAUUAAAAUAUCAAGAAGAAAAUGUAAUAAAUUCUAUAAUGGCCGAUGCAAAAAAGAAAAUGACUAAAACAAGAAAACUGAAAGAAAUAGAAAUUUUGAAAGGAAAACAUUUACUAAACAUUUUAACAUUUUAGUCAUUUAACUAGAGAUAAUUUGAUUGUGGAGGUAAAAUGUCAUGAUAAAUUAUUUUGGUUAUACCUGAACAAAACUUUUAAAUAAAAAUUAUUACAAAGUUAUCUUUAAUAUUAAAAUUUGUUUUCAAUUAAGAGUAGCAUAAUGGAUAGGUCCAUUAUAAUAAAUUAAUAAUAACACAUAAAAAAAAACAAUACAACUAUUUCCUAUAGAUUUCAUUUCUUGAUCAUUGUCAAUAUUUGUCACACAAUUUAUUUG
Molecule: RNA transcript, 2298 nt
Organism: Aphis gossypii (cotton aphid)
Lineage: Eukaryota; Metazoa; Arthropoda; Insecta; Hemiptera; Aphididae
Gene name: calponin homology domain-containing protein DDB_G0272472-like
Exons: 11
Source: RefSeq, a predicted model, not a curated record